UGAUCCCCCAAGGAACUUACGGCGACCGUGGCCUUCUAGGCCUGACCGCCAUACGCCCGCCCGCCAACUGCUUCCAACCAACCCAGCAAGCACAACCUCUUUGGGCGUUCCAACGCGGCGCCCCCUU
Rattus norvegicus (Norway rat) is the source of this 127-nucleotide non-coding RNA. The record is from Rfam. Lineage: Eukaryota; Metazoa; Chordata; Mammalia; Rodentia; Muridae.